UGCCGACUUGUGGUAUACAGCUUGUUUUGUACUAAAUUUUUACUAAUGGACUUGCUUGACAUGUUUGAUUGAGCAGUGACACUGCAUACAUUAUACAUGCAGUAUAUUUUACUUGUAAAUAUUCUACAUUGAACAGAAUAUUAACCCUUUAAGUGGCAAUUUGCUUUACUUUUUUAUUUUUUCUGUCUAAUGUGGUCAGACAAUUUUUGCUCAUUAAGGAGAGAGUGCUGCCACUUAAUGGGUUAAAGCUUUUCUGUAAAUGUAAAUUUUUUGAACGAUAACUAUGUAAUAGCCGGUACUGCAUGUGCUGGGAAUGAAACCUGCUGCCCUGUGAUUCUGAUCAGCUUUUUAACUGUCAAGGGUCCUCAAGCGCUAAGAGUCCAUCACCCUGAGAGUCAAUCAAGCUCUACUGUAACCAAGAGUUCAUGUAUAUAAUACUAGUGUCAUCCUGGGCAGUUUAUUUAAUACACUACCAAUGACACCACCAUGGUAUAUAUACAGCAACUUGUGGUUACCUCUUGGCAAAAGGGCUCUUUAGGUCAGAGGGCUGCGGUAGAAUUGCAGGGCUGCAGGUUCAAUUCAUGCUGACAGGCUUGUAAUUGUAUUCCACAUGUAUUCAUGAUAUCAUUCUAAUCAAAAUUUCAUUUUAGAACUUCAUUAAAAAAUAUUAUAGGGCGUAAGAGUAUAUCAUUAUAUUAUGCUACAGCAAAUUGUAUUUCCUGCUAUAAUAUACCUUACUUGUGGGGAUAAUAAAUUAUUUUGACUCGA
Non-coding RNA from Paramuricea clavata, 768 nucleotides. Lineage: Eukaryota; Metazoa; Cnidaria; Anthozoa; Malacalcyonacea; Plexauridae. The record is from the annotation of a GenBank genome assembly.